RNAcentral lists this ribosomal RNA (848 nucleotides) under uncultured Bacillota bacterium. RNAcentral's name for it is "bacterial SSU rRNA". It matches the Rfam family "Bacterial small subunit ribosomal RNA", at positions 58 to 936 of the family's 1533-position model. Lineage: Bacteria; Bacillati; Bacillota. The record is from RNAcentral.
CAAGUCGAACGAGAAAGCAGGGGCAACCCUGUGAGUACAGUGGCGUACGGGUGAGUAACACGUGGGUAAUCUGCCCCUUUAGUGGGGAAUAACGCUGGGAAACCGGCGCUAAUACCGCAUAAGCUCGAGAGAGGAAAGCAGCAAUGCGCUGAAGGAGGAGCCCGCGGCCGAUUAGCCGGUUGGUGAGGUAAAGGCUCACCAAAGCAAAGAUCGGUAGCCGGCCUGAGAGGGCACACGGCCACACUGGCACUGAAACACGGGCCAGACUCCUACGGGAGGCAGCAGUGGGGAAUCUUGCACAAUGGGGGAAACCCUGAUGCAGCGACGCCGCGUGAGCGAUGAAGCCCUUCGGGGUGUAAAGCUCUUUCGGCAGGGACGAUAAUGACGGUACCUGCAGAAGCAGCUGCGGCUAACUACGUGCCAGCAGCCGCGGUAAUACGCAGGCAGCGAGCGUUGUUCGGAGUUACUGGGCGUAAAGGGUGUGUAGGCGGUUCUCUAAGUUUGGUGUGAAAUCUCCCGGCUCAACCGGGAGGGUGCGCCGAAAACUGGAGGGCUAGAGUGCGGGAAGGGAGAGUGGAAUUCCUGGUGUAGCGGUGAAAUGCGUAGAUAUCAGGAGGAACACCGGUGGUGUAGACGGCUCUCUGGACCGCGACUGACGCUGAGACACGAAAGCGUGGGUAGCAAACAGGAUUAGAUACCCUGGUAGUCCACGCCCUAAACGAUGCAGAUUUGGUGUAGGUCAUUCAGUUGAUCUGUGCCGGAGCUAACGCGUUAAAUAUGCCGCCUGGGGAGUACAGUCGCAAGGCUGAAACUCAAAGGAAUUGACGGGGGCCCGCACAAGCGGUGGA